UUAUGAGAGUUUGAUCCUGGCUCAGGACGAACGCUGGCGGCGUGCCUAAUACAUGCAAGUCGAACGCUUUUUCUUUCACCGGAGCUUGCUCCACCGAAAGAAAAAGAGUGGCGAACGGGUGAGUAACACGUGGGUAACCUGCCCAUCAGAAGGGGAUAACACUUGGAAACAGGUGCUAAUACCGUAUAACACUAUUUUCCGCAUGGAAGAAAGUUGAAAGGCGCUUUUGCGUC
RNAcentral lists this ribosomal RNA (233 nucleotides) under Enterococcus gallinarum. RNAcentral's name for it is "partial 16S ribosomal RNA". It matches the Rfam family "Bacterial small subunit ribosomal RNA", at positions 1 to 216 of the family's 1533-position model. The record is from RNAcentral. Lineage: Bacteria; Bacillati; Bacillota; Bacilli; Lactobacillales; Enterococcaceae.